GAUGAACGCUGGCGGCGUGCCUAAUACAUGCAAGUCGAGCGAACGGACGAGAAGCUUGCUUCUCUGAUGUUAGCGGCGGACGGGUGAGUAACACGUGGAUAACCUACCUAUAAGACUGGGAUAACUUCGGGAAACCGGAGCUAAUACCGGAUAAUAUUUUGAACCGCAUGGUUCAAAAGUGAAAGACGGUCUUGCUGUCACUUAUAGAUGGAUCCGCGCUGCAUUAGCUAGUUGGUAAGGUAACGGCUUACCAAGGCAACGAUGCAUAGCCGACCUGAGAGGGGGAGGGCCAAACCGGAAAAGGGAAACGGGCCAGACUCCGCAGGGGGGGAAGAGGAGGGAAUGUUGCCCAAUGGGGGGAAAGCUGGAGGGGGCACGCCCCGUGGGGGGAUAAAGUGUUGGGAUUGGAAAACCAUGUUUUUAGGGGAAAAAAAAAUUGUAAAUAAAUAGGGCCAUUUUGAAGGGACCUAAACCAAAAGGCCCGGCCAACUUACGG
RNAcentral lists this ribosomal RNA (496 nucleotides) under uncultured bacterium. Its description in RNAcentral is "partial 16S ribosomal RNA". It matches the Rfam family "Bacterial small subunit ribosomal RNA", at positions 28 to 507 of the family's 1533-position model. The record is from RNAcentral.